Molecule: ribosomal RNA, 16 nt
Filed under: Caulerpa racemosa
Lineage: Eukaryota; Viridiplantae; Chlorophyta; Ulvophyceae; Bryopsidales; Caulerpaceae
Description: partial 26S ribosomal RNA
Source: RNAcentral
UCUUCCUUUGACGAUG